UGCCAGCCGCCGCGGUAAUACAUAGGGGUCAAGCGUUGUCCGGAUUUAUUGGGCGUAAAGCGCGCGUAGGCGGAUUGGAAAGUUGGGGGUGAAAUCCCGGGGCUCAACCCCGGAACUGCCAUCAAAACUGAAUUACUUGAGAUUGGUAGAGGAAAAUGGAAUUCCUAGUGUAGAGGUGAAAUUCGUAGAUAUUGGGAAGAACACCAGUGGCGAAGGCGAUUUUCUGGGCCAAUUCUGACGCUGAGGUUCGAAAGCGUGGGUAGCAAACAGGAUUAGAUA
Molecule: ribosomal RNA, 279 nt
Filed under: uncultured bacterium
Lineage: Bacteria
Description: partial 16S ribosomal RNA
Rfam family: Bacterial small subunit ribosomal RNA
Source: RNAcentral